Molecule: transfer RNA, 73 nt
Filed under: archaeon
Lineage: Archaea
Also listed under: 2 other names
Description: tRNA-Ala
Rfam family: tRNA
About the family: Transfer RNA (tRNA) molecules are approximately 80 nucleotides in length. Their secondary structure includes four short double-helical elements and three loops (D, anti-codon, and T loops).
Source: RNAcentral
GGGCUGGUGGCUCAGUUGGAAGAGUACUGCCUUGGCAUGGCAGAGGCCGCGGGUUCGAACCCCGCCCAGUCCA